CGGGUGCGGCGCCGGUCUAAGUUCCUUGGAACAGGACGUCAUAGAGGGUGAGAAUCCCGUUCAUGACCGGCGACCUAGCCCGUGUGAAGCUCCUUCGACGAGUCGAGUUGUUUGGGAAUGCAGCUCUAAAUGGGUGGUAAAUUUCAUCUAAAGCUAAAUACCGGCCAGAGACCGAUAGCGCACAAGUAGAGUGAUCGAAAGAUGAAAAGCACUUUGGAAAGAGAGUUAAAAAGUACGUGAAAUUGUUGAAAGGGAAGCGCUUGCGACCAGACUUGCUCGCGGGUGAUCAGCCGCCCUUCUGGNCGGUGCACUCGCCCGCGAUCAGGCCAGCAUCGGUUUGGGCGGUCGGAUAAAGGCCCCGGGAAUGUAGCUCCCUCCGGGGAGUGUUAUAGCCUGGGGUGCAAUGUGGCCAGCCUGGACCGAGGACCGCGCUUCGCUAGGAUGCUGGCGUAAUGGUUGUAAGCGACCCGUCUUGAAACACGGACCAAGGAGUCUAACAUCUAUGCGAGUGUUUGGGUGUCAAACCCAUGCGCGCAAUGAAAGUGAACGGAGGUGGGAACCCUCAAAGGGUGCACCAUCGACCGAUCCUGAUGUCUUCGGAUGGAUUUGAGUAAGAGCAUAGCUGUUGGGACCCGAAAGAUGGUGAACUAUGCCUGAAUAGGGUGAAGCCAGAGGAAACUCUGGUGG
RNAcentral lists this ribosomal RNA (687 nucleotides) under Marchantiana seppeltii. Its description in RNAcentral is "eukaryotic LSU rRNA". It matches the Rfam family "Eukaryotic large subunit ribosomal RNA", at positions 165 to 870 of the family's 3401-position model. Lineage: Eukaryota; Fungi; Ascomycota; Lecanoromycetes; Teloschistales; Teloschistaceae. The record is from RNAcentral.